AUUAUAUGUGCAAGCGAUGGCUGCCAGUGGGGAUGGUAAACUCGAUUCCCAUUCUACUCGAAAAUCGAGUUUUCUCGUAAAAUAAUCGAUUUUUUGUAAUCGAUCUUCAGUAGUCGAAGUCGAUUAAGAAUCGAUUCUUGACAUUCGAAAAAUCACCAAGAAAAGAAGUGCAACAUCUUUAUCUUAACAGAAAGGGCUACUACAGUUUAAACGUGAUGAUUUUUUGUGAUUAGAAAAUGUCUAUUCGGUAUGUGGAUGCUAGGCAUGCAGGCGCAAAUCAUGACUCUUUUGUUUUCAAUGUUAGCGAUUUGAAAGUGCAUUUACAGAACAACAUACAGAAUAACACUUCGAUCUUGUGCGAUGCUGGCUAUCCUCUGUACAAAUUUUUAAUGACGCCUUAUCGCUUGGCGGAAGCUUCUUCACCCCAAGCACGCUACAAUACAGUACACUCAAGCCCGGAAUAUUGUAGAGCGGACAAUUGGUGUACUCAAGAGUAGAUUUCGAUGUCUUUUAUCUGUACAAGGUUUACAUUACACUCCUGAAAAGGUUACGCAAAUUGUGAAUGCUUGUUGCGCAUUGCACAACAUUUGCCAAGACUUUCAAGUGGAAUCUCCGGAAGAAAUACCAUCUACUUCAAAUACUACAAUGACCAAUGAUGUUUUGGACAUAGAAAGAGAAGAAGAGGAUACGGCUCGAAUAAUUCGCAAUAAUAUUAUGACUUCCCUCUAAAUAAUUAAAAUAUUAAAUUUCAUUUAUUCUUUCUAAUGUGCUAUUUAUUCAGGCAUAUAUUUAAAUUUUAUUUAAAUAAAUUCAUUUAAUAACAAUAAGUUUGUCACGAUGUUUGUAACACCCAAAAGGAACCAUCGGAGACCCUAUAAAGUAUAUAUAUAAAUGAUCAGUAUGUUGAGCUGAGUCGAUUUAGCCAUGUCCGUCUGUCUGUCCGUUUGUCUGUCUGUAUAUAUACGAACUAGUCCCUCAGUUUUUAAGAUAUCCUUUUGAAAUUUUGCAAACGUCAUUUUCUCUUCAAGAAGCUGCUCAUUUGUCGGAACGGCCGAUAUCGGACCACUAUAGCAUAUAGCUGCCAUAUAAACUGAACGAUCGGAAUCAAGUUCUUGUAUGGAAAACUUUGACAUUUGACAAUGUAUCUUCACCAAAUUUGGUAUAGAUUAUUUUCUAGAGCAACAAUGUAAUCUCCGAAGAAAUUGUUCAGAUCGAAUUACUAUAGCAUAUAGCUGCCAUACAAACUGAACAGAUAGUUACUACCAGAAAUGCACCUGUGAAAGGUAUUUAGCUUCGGUGCAACCGAAGUUAACGUUUUUUCUUGUUUAAUGUAAACUUAAACUAUGGUACAAAAAUAUAAAAUAUCACUGCAUUCUUCAAUAUAAACUUAAACUAUGGUACAAAAAUUUCCAAAUUGUGGCUUUCCUCUUCCUACUUCUGGAAACUUCUCCAUUAACUCCACCAAUUUUUCGAAUUGCUUUUUGGUUGUAACUUUAUUUUUUCUAAAAAUUUAUAAAAAAUAUUAAUUAAAAUUAAUUUAACAUUGAUUAAAAUAGUUAUUUUACACGUUCUCCAUUUUUCUUUAAUAUUUAAGUCGAAGCUUAUUUAUAUACUAGUCAACCCCACUUGUACAGUAAUACCAAAAAAAGUUGAAGUUCGAUCAUACUUCAACCGCAAUUUUUUUUGACGGAUUGAGUUGAAGUUGGCAAUACGGAAUUUUUAAACUUCGACUGAAAUGCAGUUGGGUUGAAAACCGCAAUAGUAUUAACUAUACUUACAUAUAUCGGUAUUCUGCUUGAUGUCUCUAAUUGUCACAAUCUUCAUUUACUACUAUACAGUAUACUACUUUACUGUAUCUGCCAGAAUACCAAAAUGAGACUCCUGACUAACAGAGUCACUAAAUGAAGAUUGUGACAAUUAGAGACAUGAGACAAUCGCCUCAAGCAGAAUACCGAUAUUACUAUUGCUUAUUUGUUUAUAUUAUGUGAGCGAGAUCGCCCAGAAUCGUUUAUUGUUACUUUUGAUAUUUAUUUGUUUAUUUAAAAGUGGCUGUGCCAAAGUAAUUGGAUUCAUUUAAGUGGAGUGUGAAAUGAAUAUGUCACUUUCAAUUAGGUAGAGUGUGAAGUAAAUUCGUCACUAUAUAGUAUACACAACUUAUUUUUCAAAUGCAUUCAUAUAAGAAGAAUUAAAAAAAUUUGGUUGAUACGAGUAGGACAAGC
Bactrocera dorsalis (oriental fruit fly) is the source of this 2219-nucleotide long non-coding RNA. RefSeq lists it as uncharacterized. The transcript is spliced from 3 exons. Lineage: Eukaryota; Metazoa; Arthropoda; Insecta; Diptera; Tephritidae. The record is from RefSeq and is a predicted model, not a curated record.